GUGGAUUAAAGAGUGGAAUAAUGUGCCGUUAGGGCCCUAGUGGAGAGGUCCUUAUGUUGUUCUUCUGUCUACCCCUACAGCGAUAAAAGUAGCCGAAGUGGCUCCGUGGAUACAUCACUCCAGGGUUAAACCAGCAGCAGCCGAUUCCUGGCAAGUUACAGCAAAUCCAGAGAAUCCCUGCAAGAUUCGGUUAAAACGCACGACUCAGUCGGAGUGACGAGGAACCUUGUAGAUUACAAAUUUUAUUGUUUCAGAGACUUGGUAAGUGAGUGAGAAGGCCAUAAUAAAGCAUGUCCACUCACCAACGAGUGUAUAAGUCGGGGAAAGUCUUGAGGGGACCCCUGUGAAGACGAGCAGAACUCCAUUCCCUGCAGUACUUACAUCCUGGAAGCUGAGGUGCCUUCGCACGGACGAAGACUGAGGAUGAUGACGAAAGAUGUAUUUUUAAUAAUGUUUAUUUAUGUGUAUUUUUAUAUUCAGGAAGGUAGAGGUACCAACACUCCUAGCUGUGAGGUAUGCAUUAAGACUACAAGAACAGGUAACCAUAUAUCCC
This is a non-coding RNA of Pelobates cultripes (western spadefoot toad), 553 nucleotides long. The record is from the annotation of a GenBank genome assembly. Lineage: Eukaryota; Metazoa; Chordata; Amphibia; Anura; Pelobatidae.